This 451-nucleotide ribosomal RNA is filed under the name uncultured bacterium. RNAcentral's name for it is "bacterial SSU rRNA". It matches the Rfam family "Bacterial small subunit ribosomal RNA", at positions 354 to 796 of the family's 1533-position model. The record is from RNAcentral.
GCUAAGAAUCUUCCGCAAUGGGGGAAACCCUGACGGAGCGACGCCGCGUGGGCGAUGAAGGCCGUAAGGUUGUAAAGCCCUUUUGCAGGCGAAGAAUGAGGUGGGGAGUGGAAAGCCCCGCUGAUGACGUUAGCCUGCGAAGAAGCCCCGGCCAAUUACGUGCCAGCAGCCGCGGUAAUACGUAUGGGGCGAGCGUUGUUCGGAGUUAUUGGGCGUAAAGGGCGUGUAGGCGGCCUGCUUUGUCUGGUGUGAAAACGCAGGGCUCAACCCUGCGGUUGCGCUGGAAACGGGCGGGCUUGAGUUCCGGGGGGGAAGUCGGAAUUCCUGGUGUAGGGGUGAAAUCUGUAGAGAUCAGGAAGAACACCGGUGGCGAAGGCGGGCUUCUACUCGAGGACUGACGCUGAGGCGCGAAAGCGUGGGGAGCAAACAGGAUUAGAAACCCCAGUAGUCC